RNAcentral lists this ribosomal RNA (254 nucleotides) under uncultured bacterium. Its description in RNAcentral is "partial 16S ribosomal RNA". It matches the Rfam family "Bacterial small subunit ribosomal RNA", at positions 524 to 776 of the family's 1533-position model. The record is from RNAcentral.
UACGUAGGGUGCGAGCGUUGUCCGAAAUUAUUGGGCGUAAAGAGCUCGUAGGCGGUUUGUUGCGUCGGCCGUGAAAACCUGCAGCUUAACUGUGGGCGUGCGGUCGAUACGGGCAUCACUGGAGUUCGGCAGGGGAGACUGGAAUUCCUGGUGUAGCGGUGAAAUGCGCAGAUAUCAGGAGGAACACCGGUGGCGAAGGCGGGUCUCUGGGCCGAUACUGACGCUGAGGAGCGAAAGCGUGGGGAGCAAACAGG